This 977-nucleotide ribosomal RNA is filed under the name uncultured eukaryote. RNAcentral's name for it is "SSU rRNA". It matches the Rfam family "Eukaryotic small subunit ribosomal RNA", at positions 619 to 1623 of the family's 1831-position model. The record is from RNAcentral.
UUAAAAAGCUCGUAGUCGAACUUCGGCCUCUGCCACCCGGUCCGCCUAUUUGGGUGUGUACUGGAGUGGUGGAGGCUUACCUCGUGGUGAACGGCCAUGCCCUUAACUGGGUGUGGUCGGGAACCAUGACUUUUACUGUGAAAAAAUUAGAGUGUUCAAAGCAGGCUUACGCCCGAAUACAUUAGCAUGGAAUAAUAAAAUAGGACGUGCGGUCCUAUUUUGUUGGUUUCUAGGAUCGCCGUAAUGAUUAAUAGGGAUAGUUGGGGGCAUUCGUAUUCAAUUGUCAGAGGUGAAAUUCUUGGAUUUAUUGAAGACGAACUACUGCGAAAGCAUUUGCCAAGGAUGUUUUCAUUGAUCAAGAACGAAGGUUAGGGGAUCGAAAACGAUCAGAUACCGUUGUAGUCUUAACAGUAAACGAUGCCGACUAGGGAUCGGAUGAGGUUUUUAAUGACUCAUUCGGCACCUGAAGAGAAAUCUUUAAGUCAGGUUCGGGGGGGAGUAUGGUCGCAAGGCUGAAACUUAAAGGAAUUGACGGAAGGGCACCACCAGGUGUGGAGCCUGCGGCUUAAUUUGACUCAACACGGGGAAACUCACCAGGUCCAGACACGACAAGGAUUGACAGAUUGAUAGCUCUUUCUUGAUUUCGUGGUUGGUGGUGCAUGGCCGUUCUUAGUUGGUGGAGUGAUUUGUCUGGUUAAUUCCGAUAACGAACGAGACCUUAACCUGCUAAAUAGCCCGGCCGACUUUGGUUGGUCGCUGGCUUCUUAGAGGGACUAUCGACGUCUAGUCGAUGGAAGUUUGAGGCAAUAACAGGUCUGUGAUGCCCUUAGAUGUUCUGGGCCGCACGCGCGCUACACUGACCGAACCAGCGAGUUAAUCACCUUGGCCGGAAGGCCUGGGUAAUCUUGUGAAAUUCGGUCGUGAUGGGGAUAGAGCAUUGCAAUUAUUGCUCUUCAACGAGGAAUACCUAGUAAGCG